AUUGAACGCUGGCGGCAGGCCUAACACAUGCAAGUCGAGCGAGCGGCGCAUGGGGGUGUAAUGUGUGUGAAACUCCCUGAUGGAGGGGGAUAACUCUUGGAAACGGUAUAUAUUAUCGCCUACCAUCUCAUGUGUCCAGAUGGGGUUUGCUAGUGGGUGGGGUAACGGCUCACCUAGGCGACGAUCCCUAGCUGGUCUGAGAGGAUGACCCGCCAAACUGGAACUGAGACACGGUCCGGACUCCUACGGGAGGCAGCAGUGGGGAAGAUUGCACAAUGGGCGCAAGCCUGAUGCAGCCAUGCCGCGUGUAUGAAGAAGGCCUUCGGGUUGUAAAGUACUUUCAGCGGGGAGGCGUUACCCGCAGAAGAAGCACCGGCUAACUCCGUGCCAGCAGCCGCGGUAAUAC
This 406-nucleotide ribosomal RNA is filed under the name uncultured bacterium. RNAcentral describes it as "partial 16S ribosomal RNA". It matches the Rfam family "Bacterial small subunit ribosomal RNA", at positions 30 to 526 of the family's 1533-position model. The record is from RNAcentral.